UACGUAGGGUGCGAGCGUUAAUCGGAAUUACUGGGCGUAAAGCGUGCGCAGGCGGCGCGUUAAGACAGGUGUGAAAGCCCCGAGCUUAACUUGGGAAUUGCGCUUGUGACUGGCGUGCUGGAGUGUGGCAGAGGGAGGUGGAAUUCCACGUGUAGCAGUGAAAUGCGCAGAUAUCAGGAGGAACACCUAUGGCGAAGGCAGCUUGCUGGGACGACACUGACGCUGAGACGCGAAAGCGUGGGGAGCAAACAGG
Molecule: ribosomal RNA, 253 nt
Filed under: uncultured bacterium
Lineage: Bacteria
Description: partial 16S ribosomal RNA
Rfam family: Bacterial small subunit ribosomal RNA
Source: RNAcentral